This 795-nucleotide ribosomal RNA is filed under the name uncultured bacterium. RNAcentral describes it as "bacterial SSU rRNA". It matches the Rfam family "Bacterial small subunit ribosomal RNA", at positions 8 to 800 of the family's 1533-position model. The record is from RNAcentral.
AGAGUUUGAUCCUGGCUCAGGAUGAACGCUAGCGGCAGGCCUAAUACAUGCAAGACGAACGGUAACUUUGAUAGCAAUAUGAAGCAAGAGUGUCGUACGGGUGCGUAACACGUAUGCAACCUACCCUUUACAGGCGGAUAGCUCGGGGAAACUCGAAUUAACCCGCCAUAAUAUAGUUGAAUGGCAUCAUUUAAUUAUUAAAACUGAGGUGGUAAAGGAUGGGCAUGCGUCUGAUUAGUUAGUUGGUGAGGUAAUGGCUCACCAAGACGAUGAUCAGUAGGGGAACUGAGAGGUUGAUCCCCCACACUGGCACUGAGAUACGGGCCAGACUCCUACGGGAGGCAGCAGUAGGGAAUAUUGGUCAAUGGGUGAGAGCCUGAACCAGCCAUGCCGCGUGCAGGAAGAAGGCCUUCUGGGUUGUAAACUGCUUUUGUCAGGGGAUAAAAAGCUCGUGCGCGAGUAAUUGCAGGUACCUGAUGAAUAAGCCACGGCUAACUACGUGCCAGCAGCCGCGGUAAUACGUAGGUGGCAAGCGUUGUCCGGAUUUAUUGGGUUUAAAGGGUGCGUAGGCGGCUGUCUAAGUCAGUGGUGAAAUACUCCAGCUUAACUGGAGGGGUGCCAUUGAUACUGGAUAGCUUGAGUACAGACGAGGUAGGCGGAAUUGACGGUGUAGCGGUGAAAUGCAUAGAUAUCGUCAAGAACUCCGAUAGUGAAGACAGCUUACUAGGCUGUAACUGACGCUGAGGCACGAAAGUGUGGGGAUCAAACAGGAUUAGAUACCCUGGUAGUCCACAC